Molecule: ribosomal RNA, 208 nt
Filed under: uncultured bacterium
Lineage: Bacteria
Description: partial 16S ribosomal RNA
Rfam family: Bacterial small subunit ribosomal RNA
Source: RNAcentral
GCGCGUAGGUGGUUUGUUAAGUCAGAUGUGAAAGCCCCGGGCUCAACCUGGGAACUGCAUUUGAUACUGGCAGGCUAGAGUAUGGUAGAGGGAAGUGGAAUUCCGGGUGUAGCGGUGAAAUGCGUAGAUAUCCGGAAGAACACCAGUGGCGAAGGCGGCUUCCUGGACCAAUACUGACGCUGAGGUGCGAAAGCGUGGGGAGCAAACA